Molecule: ribosomal RNA, 847 nt
Filed under: Pratylenchus goodeyi
Lineage: Eukaryota; Metazoa; Nematoda; Chromadorea; Rhabditida; Pratylenchidae
Description: partial 28S ribosomal RNA
Source: RNAcentral
GGGACCGUAUCUUCGCCCUUUCCCAAGUUCAGACGAUCGAUUUGCACGUCAGAAUCGCUUCGGACUUCCACCAGAGUUUCCUCUGGCUUCAUCCUGCUCAGGAAUAGUUCACCAUCUUUCGGGUCUCACCGCGUACGCUCUUCCUCCACCCCACUGCAAGCAGUCAGGAUGGGGCCAUGCUGCGCUUGGCCUCCGAAGAGACCAGGAUCGCACAUCAGCUCCUUGCGGAGACAUUCACUUUCAUUGCGCCUUUGGGUUUUCAACGCCCAAUGACUUGCGCACACGAUAAACUCCUUGGUCCGUGUUCAGGGACAAAUACAAGGAGUUUAUCGUGUGCGCAGUCAUUGGCGUUGAAAACCAGAGGCGAAUGAAGUGAAUGCUCAGGAGAAGUGUUUGCUAUCUGCUCCUCGGGGGAAGGGGUUGGACGAGAAGUGGGGGGGACGUGGCUGAGAACUCUACUGUGACGAGGGAAACCCCGUAUUAGAAACGAGGAAAGCCUAGUUAAAGCGGGACUCAAAUGCUGCGAAGGUCUUUUAUUGUUAAGUGCUGGUGGGAAAAAAGAACCUUGAAAGGACAUUACCGGUGGGGGGUUUAGCAAGGUGCUUCCCGAGACAUCUCAAGCUUUUCCACGGCUGUUAAAGACUCUGUUAACAUCCUUUUCCUAAAUAAUGAGUCCCCGGUCGAUAAAGGCACGUCUCCAGUAGGGCCCGGUUCAGGCAAUCGUCCCUCGGUGAAACUUGGAGUGGCCGUAUCAACCCUCAUGGACAGCCCGCCCGAGGCCAUCUGCCCGAACCUAGCCUUUGAAUCAACAUAUGCAGGUCAUCGCUCUGGGAUGGGUCCAGCAUCG